This 550-nucleotide ribosomal RNA is filed under the name uncultured bacterium. RNAcentral's name for it is "bacterial SSU rRNA". It matches the Rfam family "Bacterial small subunit ribosomal RNA", at positions 355 to 896 of the family's 1533-position model. The record is from RNAcentral.
UAGGGAAUCUUCGGCAAUGGACGGAAGUCUGACCGAGCAACGCCGCGUGAGUGAAGAAGGUUUUCGGAUCGUAAAGCUCUGUUGUAAGAGAAGAACGAGUGUGAGAGUGGAAAGUUCACACUGUGACGGUAUCUUACCAGAAAGGGACGGCUAACUACGUGCCAGCAGCCGCGGUAAUACGUAGGUCCCGAGCGUUGUCCGGAUUUAUUGGGCGUAAAGCGAGCGCAGGCGGUUAGAUAAGUCUGAAGUUAAAGGCUGUGGCUUAACCAUAGUACGCUUUGGAAACUGUUUAACUUGAGUGCAAGAGGGGAGAGUGGAAUUCCAUGUGUAGCGGUGAAAUGCGUAGAUAUAUGGAGGAACACCGGUGGCGAAAGCGGCUCUCUGGCUUGUAACUGACGCUAAGGCUCGAAAGCGGGGGGAGCAAACAGGAUUAUAUACCCUGGUAGUCCACGCCGUAAACGAUGAGUGCUAGGUGUUAGACCCUUUCCGGGGUUUAGUGCCGUAGCUAACGCAUUAAGCACUCCGCCUGGGGAGUACGACCGCAAGGUUG